This 519-nucleotide small RNA is filed under the name Pan troglodytes (chimpanzee). Its description in RNAcentral is "retained intron". The record is from RNAcentral. Lineage: Eukaryota; Metazoa; Chordata; Mammalia; Primates; Hominidae.
GUGCCUUAAAGAGGUGCUUUAAAGAGUGAUUUGUCUAAUUUUACUCAGUUGGCAGUUGGGAGUUGCUAGGGAAACACAUCUCUUUGUUAUUGUAUGUUAAAAAGCAUUGUUCCUGUUUUGUUUUCCUUCUUUUAUAUCUUGGUUAUGUUCACUAUUUUUGUUUUAGGCCCAGCUGUCAACUCAAGAGAAAGAAAUGGAGAAGCUUGUUCAGGCAGAUCAAGAUAAGACAGAGCAGUUAGAGCAGCUGAAAAAGGAAAAUGACCACCUCUUUCUCAGUUUAACUGAACAGAGGAAGGACCAGAAGAAGCUCGAGCAGACAGUGGAGCAAAUGAAGCAGAAUGAAACUACUGCAAUGAAGAAACAACAGGAAUUAAUGGAUGAAAACUUUGACCUGUCAAAAAGACUGAGUGAGAACAAAAUUAUAUGUAAUGCUCUGCAGAGAGAGAAAGAGAGAUUGGAAGGAGAAAAUGAUCUUUUGAAGAGGGAGAACAGCAGAUUGCUCAGUUACAUGGGUCUGGA